GACGAACGCUGGCGGCGUGCUUAACACAUGCAAGUCGAACGGUGAAGCGCCUUCCUUUUUGGUGGGUGUGGAUGAGUGGCGAACGGGUGAGUAACACGUGAGUAACCUGCCCCCUUCUUCUGGAUAACCGCAUGAAAGUGUGGCUAAUACGGGAUAUUCUGGGUCUGUCGCAUGAUGGGUCUGGGAAAGAUAUUGUUUCGGUGGGGGAUGGGCUCGCGGCCUAUCAGCUUGUUGGUGGGGUGAUGGCCUACCAAGGCGGUGACGGGUAGCCGGCCUGAGAGGGUGGAAGGACACACGGGGACUGAGACACGGCCCAGACUCAUACGGGAGGCAGCAGUGGGGAAUAUUGCACAAUGGGCGCAAGCCUGAUGCAGCGACGCCGCGUGAGGGAUGGAGGCCUUCGGGUUGUGAACCUCUUUAGCCAGUGAAGCAGGCCUGCCUCGUUUGUGGGUGGGUUGACGGUAGCUGGAGAAGAAGCGCCGGCUAACUACGUG
This 494-nucleotide ribosomal RNA is filed under the name uncultured bacterium. RNAcentral's name for it is "partial 16S ribosomal RNA". It matches the Rfam family "Bacterial small subunit ribosomal RNA", at positions 28 to 507 of the family's 1533-position model. The record is from RNAcentral.